GUCUAUGGCCAUAGCACAUUGAACACGCCAAAUCUUGUCUGAUCUCAGAAGCUCAGCUGGGUCGGACUGGUUAGUACUUGGAUGGGAGAAAUUCCACUCCUGGGCACAUAUGCAAGGAAGAUU
This 123-nucleotide ribosomal RNA is filed under the name Fukomys damarensis (Damara mole-rat). Lineage: Eukaryota; Metazoa; Chordata; Mammalia; Rodentia; Bathyergidae. The record is from RNAcentral.